RNAcentral lists this ribosomal RNA (497 nucleotides) under uncultured bacterium. Its description in RNAcentral is "partial 16S ribosomal RNA". It matches the Rfam family "Bacterial small subunit ribosomal RNA", at positions 28 to 507 of the family's 1533-position model. The record is from RNAcentral.
GAUGAACGCUGGCGGCGUGCCUAAUACAUGCAAGUCGAGCGAACAGACGAGGCGCUUGCUCCUCUGACGUUAGCGGCGGACGGGUGAGUAACACGUGGAUAACCUACCUAUAAGACUGGGAUAACUUCGGGAAACCGGAGCUAAUACCGGAUAAUAUAUUGAACCGCAUGGUUCAAUAGUGAAAGACGGUUUUGCUGUCCCUUAUAGAUGGAUCCGCGCCGCAUUAGCUAGUUGGUAAGGUAACGGCUUACCAAGGCGACGAUGCGUAGCCGACCUGAGAGGGUGAUCGGCCACACUGGAACUGAGACACGGUCCAGACUCCUACGGGAGGCAGCAGUAGGGAAUCUUCCGCAAUGGGCGAAAGCUUGACGGAGCAACGCCGCGUGAGUGAUGAAGGUCUUCGGAUCGUAAAACUCUGUUAUUAGGGAAGAACAAAUGUGAAAGUAACUAUGCACGUCUUGACGGUACCUAAUCAGAAAGCCACGGCUAACUACGUG